GCCCUAGUAACGGCGAGUGAAGCGGCAACAGCUCAAAUUUGAAAUCUGGCCUUCGGGUCCGAGUUGUAAUUUGUAGAGGAUGCUUUUGGUGAGGUACCUUCCGAGUUCCCUGGAACGGGACGCCAUAGAGGGUGAGAGCCCCGUCUGGUUGGAUACCGAUCCUCUGUAAAGCUCCUUCGACGAGUCGAGUAGUUUGGGAAUGCUGCUCUAAAUGGGAGGUAUAUGUCUUCUAAAGCUAAAUAUUGGCCAGAGACCGAUAGCGCACAAGUAGAGUGAUCGAAAGAUGAAAAGCACUUUGAAAAGAGAGUUAAAAAGUACGUGAAAUUGUUGAAAGGGAAGCGCUCAUGACCAGACUUGGGCUUGGUUGAUCAUCCAGGGUUCUCCCUGGUGCACUCUUCCAGCUCAGGCCAGCAUCAGUUCGCCGCGGGGGAUAAAGGCUUCGGGAAUGUGGCUCCUCCGGGAGUGUUAUAGCCCGCUGCGUAAUACCCUGUGGCGGACUGAGGUUCGCGCAUCUGCAAGGAUGCUGGCGUAAUGGUCAUCAGCGACCCGUCUUGAAACACGGACCAAGGAGUCGUCUUCGUAUGCGAGUGUUCGGGUGUUAAACCCCUACGCGUAAUGAAAGUGAACGCAGGUGAGAGCUUCGGCGCAUCAUCGACCGAUCCUGAUGUUCUCGGAUGGAUUUGAGUAAGAGCAUACGGGGCCGGACCCGAAAGAAGGUGAACUAUGCCUGUAUAGGGUGAAGCCAGAGGAAACUCUGGUGGAGGCUCGCAGCGGUUCUGACGUGCAAAUCGAUCGUCAAAUAUGGGCAUGGGGGCGAAAGACUAA
Molecule: ribosomal RNA, 825 nt
Filed under: Ilyonectria destructans
Lineage: Eukaryota; Fungi; Ascomycota; Sordariomycetes; Hypocreales; Nectriaceae
Description: eukaryotic LSU rRNA
Rfam family: Eukaryotic large subunit ribosomal RNA
Source: RNAcentral